GUGUGGCUCAGUGGGAGGGCAUUUGCCUAGCAUGCAUGAGCCCUGGGUUCCAUCCCCAGCAC
RNAcentral lists this transfer RNA (62 nucleotides) under Fukomys damarensis (Damara mole-rat). It matches the Rfam family "tRNA", at positions 5 to 66 of the family's 71-position model. Rfam says of the family: Transfer RNA (tRNA) molecules are approximately 80 nucleotides in length. Their secondary structure includes four short double-helical elements and three loops (D, anti-codon, and T loops). The record is from Rfam by way of RNAcentral. Lineage: Eukaryota; Metazoa; Chordata; Mammalia; Rodentia; Bathyergidae.